GACGAACGCUGGCGGCGUGCCUAAUACAUGCAAGUCGAACGCUUUUUCUUUCACCGGAGCUUGCUCCACCGAAAGAAAAAGAGUGGCGAACGGGUGAGUAACACGUGGGUAACCUGCCCAUCAGAGGGGGAUAACACUUGGAAACAGGUGCUAAUACCGUAUAACACUAUUUUCCGCAUGGAAGAAAGUUGAAAGGCGCUUUUGCGUCACUGAUGGAUUGACCCGCGGUGCAUUAGCUAGUUGGUGAGGUAACGGCUCACCAAGGCAACGAUGCAUAGCCGACCUGAGAGGGUGAUCGGCCACACUGGGACUGAGACACGGCCCAGACUCCUACGGGAGGCAGCAGUAGGGAAUCUUCGGCAAUGGACGAAAGUCCGACCGAGCAACGCCGCGUGAGUGAAGAAGGUUUUCGGAUCGUAAAACUCUGUUGUUAGAGAAGAACAAGGAUGAGAGUAGAACGUUCAUCCCUUGACGGUAUCUAACCAGAAAGCCACGGCUAACUACGUGCCAGCAGCCGCAGUAA
RNAcentral lists this ribosomal RNA (523 nucleotides) under uncultured bacterium. Its description in RNAcentral is "partial 16S ribosomal RNA". It matches the Rfam family "Bacterial small subunit ribosomal RNA", at positions 28 to 523 of the family's 1533-position model. The record is from RNAcentral.